AUGCUUGUGUCUCCACAGGAGAUGGCGCGUGAUGGUUCCCGGCCAGGCUGGUUCACCUCACAGUGGGUCUUGACCCUUGUGAUGCUGACGAUGCCACUCGGGAGCAUGAGCAGCUUGAUCCAAGCACCCCAUCAUCUGAYGCCCUGGAACAGCAGUAACGUUUGGGUAACCUUGGCAAAGGCACUGAAUCAAACUAUGUUCUGUGCGUCUAUGGCUACGCCGGAACAACCCUUUCACACAUGCUUAGUAGGAAUGCCUCUAGCAAAUAGCACGACAAUUGUGCAAGAUGUGGUUAGUCUGUACAAAAGUUCAGUACAGAACUGCUUGAACACCGUGUCAUGUAUAGAGAAUUGGGACAGUUGCGACGAUUGGCUGCUCACAGCGUCACGUGAGCCACAAGAACUGGACAUAUUAGGCAGCGUGCGCAUGGAAGCCUGCCUCUAUUUUACGUUCGACCCCACAGCAGAACGCCCGGAAUAUUUUAGAAAUGAUACAAAUAGGAUAGACGUAACCCCGAAUAGUCCUAUAUUUCAAAAUGAAUCUAUGUGGUGCAACGAAACCUGUAGAAAUAAAACACAUGGAGCACCGGGUGUAGGAAUGCCACAAAAACUGCCUCCAGGGGUAUUCUUAAUAUGUGGAGACAGGGCGUGGCAAGGCAUCCCGUCAGGCAUGAUGGGAGGGCCAUGUACUCUAGGCCGCUUAACGCUGCUAACACCAAAUAUAUCAAUGAUUUUGAAUCACACACACAUGCAGAGGCACAGAGCAAGACGUAGCACACCGUCAUCUACAUGUAAUGACAAUGUAGAUGUAUGGAAUAAAGGGGAAGCUAUAGCCACCGGCCUGCUUAUGCCCCCAUUAGCAGCUACUAAGGUGCUAUUAGAACUGGACAGGAUGGCCUGCUGGCUAAGUAAGCAAAUGAGUGCAACCACAAUAGCAUUGAGCGGAUUGUCAACAGACCUGGACUCUGUUACACAUGCGACACUGCAAAAUCGGGCCGCCAUCGAUUUUUUGUUACUGGCCCAUGGGCAUGGGUGUGACGAUUUUGAUGGAAUGUGUUGUAUGAAUCUGACCGAUCACUUGCGGUCUAUCCAUGCCAGUAUUCAGCAGCUGAUGGAACAAACAAGAAAAUUACAGGAAGAGGACGGAUUUUUCGGGUUGACACAUCUGUUCCAAGAAUGGGGUUUGUCAGGGUGGCUGCUAUCACUGGCGAAAGGGGGGCUGCUGGUGCUGGGAAUACUAAUAUGCCUUCUGUUGAUACUACCACGUCUAGUGACGUGCCUACAAAGCGUCAUGCAGAAGACAAUCCAACACAUAAUGUUUGUAGAAAAACAAAAAGGGGGAGAUGUGGGGUUUGGCAUUGAUGAAGCAAGCCUAUGCCCUUGA
This 1383-nucleotide long non-coding RNA is filed under the name Apteryx haastii (Great spotted kiwi). Its description in RNAcentral is "lncRNA (ENSAHAG00000018777.1)". Lineage: Eukaryota; Metazoa; Chordata; Aves; Apterygiformes; Apterygidae. The record is from RNAcentral.